UACGUAGGGGGCAAGCGUUGUCCGGAUUUAUUGGGCGUAAAGAGCGUGUAGGCGGCCAGGUAGGUCGGCUGUGAAAACUCGAGGCUCAACCUCGAGAUGUCGGCCGAAACCAUCUGGCUAGAGUCCGGAAGAGGAGAGUGGAAUUCCCGGUGUAGCGGUGAAAUGCGCAGAUAUCGGGAAGAACACCCGUGGCGAAGGCGGCUCUCUGGGACGGUACUGACGCUGAGGAGCGAAAGCGUGGGGAGCGAACAGG
RNAcentral lists this ribosomal RNA (253 nucleotides) under uncultured bacterium. Its description in RNAcentral is "partial 16S ribosomal RNA". It matches the Rfam family "Bacterial small subunit ribosomal RNA", at positions 524 to 776 of the family's 1533-position model. The record is from RNAcentral.